Molecule: transfer RNA, 71 nt
Filed under: Ictidomys tridecemlineatus (thirteen-lined ground squirrel)
Lineage: Eukaryota; Metazoa; Chordata; Mammalia; Rodentia; Sciuridae
Description: Spermophilus tridecemlineatus (thirteen-lined ground squirrel) tRNA
Rfam family: tRNA
About the family: Transfer RNA (tRNA) molecules are approximately 80 nucleotides in length. Their secondary structure includes four short double-helical elements and three loops (D, anti-codon, and T loops).
Source: Rfam by way of RNAcentral
GUGGUUGUGGCUCAGUGGUAGAGUACCUGCCUAGCAUGUAUGAGGCACUGGGUUCAAUCCUCAGGACCACA